RNAcentral lists this ribosomal RNA (388 nucleotides) under uncultured bacterium. Its description in RNAcentral is "bacterial SSU rRNA". It matches the Rfam family "Bacterial small subunit ribosomal RNA", at positions 28 to 417 of the family's 1533-position model. The record is from RNAcentral.
GACGAACGCUGGCGGCGUGCUUAACACAUGCAAGUCGAGCGGUAAGGCCCUUUCGGGGGUACACGAGCGGCGAACGGGUGAGUAACACGUGGGUGACCUGCCCUCAGCUCUGGGAUAAGCCUGGGAAACCGGGUCUAAUACCGGAUAUGACUCCACGGUGCAUGUCGUGGGGUGGAAAGCCUUGUGCGGCUGAGGAUGGGCCCGCGGCCUAUCAGCUUGUUGGUGGGGUGANGGCCUACCAAGGCGACGACGGGUAGCCGGCCUGAGAGGGCGACCGGCCACACUGGGACUGAGACACGGCCCAGACUCCUACGGGAGGCAGCAGUGGGGAAUCUUGCGCAAUGGGCGAAAGCCUGACGCAGCGACGCCGCGUGAGGGAUGACGGCCU